Molecule: ribosomal RNA, 386 nt
Filed under: uncultured eukaryote
Lineage: Eukaryota
Description: partial 18S ribosomal RNA
Rfam family: Eukaryotic small subunit ribosomal RNA
Source: RNAcentral
CAAUAGCGUAUAUUAAAGUUGUUGCAGUUAAAAAGCUCGUAGUUGGAUUUCUGGUGGAAGCGACCGGUCCGCCCCUCACGGGGUGUGCACUAGCGUCUGUCUUUUGCCAUCCUUGCGAAGAAGCGGUGUGGCAUUAAGUUGUCGCGCCGUCUGACUCGCAUCGUUUACUGUGAAAAAAUUAGAGUGUUUAAAGCAGGCAAUUGCUGUGAAUACAUUAGCAUGGAAUAAUAAGAUAGGACUUUGGUACUAUUUUGUUGGUUUGCAUAUCAAAGUAAUGAUUAACAGGGACAGUUGGGGGUAUUCGUAUUUCGUUGUCAGAGGUGAAAUUCUUGGAUUUAUGAAAGACGAACUACUGCGAAAGCAUUUACCAAGGAUGUUUUCAUUAA